GACGAACGCUGGCGGCGUGCUUAACACAUGCAAGUCGAACGGAAAGGCCCUGCUUUUGUGGGGUGCUCGAGUGGCGAACGGGUGAGUAACACGUGAGUAACCCGCCCUUGAAUUUGGGAUAACUUUAGGAAACUGGGGCUAAUACCGGAGAGGAGCUCCUGCUGCAUGGUGGGGGAUGGAAAGUGUCGGCGGUUGGGGAUGGACUCGCGGCUUAUCAGCUGGUUUGUGGGGUAGUGGCUUACCAAGGCUGUGAAGGGUAGCCGGCCUGAGAGGGUGACCGGCCACAUUGGGACUGAGAUACGGCCCAGACUCCUACGGGAGGCAGCAGUGGGGAAUAUUGCACAAUGGGCGGAAGCCUGAUGCAGCAACGCCGCGUGCGGGAUGACGGCCUUCGGGUUAUAAACCGCUUUCGCCUGUGACGAAGCGUGAGUGACGGUAAUGGGUAAAGAAGCACCGGCUAACUACGUG
Molecule: ribosomal RNA, 468 nt
Filed under: uncultured bacterium
Lineage: Bacteria
Description: partial 16S ribosomal RNA
Rfam family: Bacterial small subunit ribosomal RNA
Source: RNAcentral